This 133-nucleotide ribosomal RNA is filed under the name Saimiri boliviensis boliviensis (Bolivian squirrel monkey). The record is from RNAcentral. Lineage: Eukaryota; Metazoa; Chordata; Mammalia; Primates; Cebidae.
GUCUACCGCCAUAGCACCCUGAGUGUGCCCCAUCUUUUAUGAUCUCAGAAGCUAAGCAGGGUCAGCCCUGGUUAGUACUUGGAUGGGAGAAAGCAUUUUGAUGUCUAGGGAAGUUACUUAACCUCUGUAGGCU